CGGGCCCGAGUUGUAAUUUGUAGAGGAUACUUUUGAUGCGGUGCCUUCCGAGUUCCCUGGAACGGGACGCCAUAGAGGGUGAGAGCCCCGUCUGGUUGGAUGCCAAAUCUCUGUAAAGUUCCUUCGACGAGUCGAGUAGUUUGGGAAUGCUGCUCUAAAUGGGAGGUAUAUGUCUUCUAAAGCUAAAUACCGGCCAGAGACCGAUAGCGCACAAGUAGAGUGAUCGAAAGAUGAAAAGCACUUUGAAAAGAGAGUUAAAAAGUACGUGAAAUUGUUGAAAGGGAAGCGUUUAUGACCAGACUUGGGCUUGGUUAAUCAUCUGGGGUUCUCCCCAGUGCACUUUUCCAGUCCAGGCCAGCAUCAGUUUUCCCCGGGGGAUAAAGACUUCGGGAAUGUGGCUCUCUUCGGGGAGUGUUAUAGCCCGUUGUGUAAUACCCUGGGGGGGACUGAGGUUCGCGCAUCUGCAAGGAUGCUGGCGUAAUGGUCAUCAACGACCCGUCUUGAAACACGGACCAAGGAGUCGUCUUCGUAUGCGAGUGUUCGGGUGUCAAACCCCUACGCGUAAUGAAAGUGAACGCAGGUGAGAGCUUCGGCGCAUCAUCGACCGAUCCUGAUGUUCUCGGAUGGAUUUGAGUAAGAGCAUACGGGGCCGGACCCGAAAGAAGGUGAACUAUGCCUGUAUAGGGUGAAGCCAGAGGAAACUCUGGUGGAGGCUCGCAGCGGUUCUGACGUGCAAAUCGAUCGUCAAAUAUGGGCAUGGGGGCGAAAGACUAAUCGAACCUUCUAGUAGCUGGUUUCCGCCGAAGUUUCCCUCAGGAUAGCAGUGUUGAACUCAGUUUUAUGAGGUAAAGCGAAUGAUUAGGGACUCGGGGGCGCUAUUUAGCCUUCAUCCAUUCUCAAACUUUAAAUAUGUAAGAAGCUCUUGUUGCUUAAUUGAACGUGAGCAUUCGAAUGUAUCAACACUAGUGGGCCAUUUUUGGUAAGCAGAACUGGCGAUGCGGGAUGAACCGAACGCGAGGUUAAGGUGCCAGAGUAGACGCUCAUCAGACACCACAAAAGGUGUUAGUACAUCUUGACAGCAGGACGGUGGCCAUGGAAGUCGGAAUCCGCUAAGGACUGUGUAACAACUCACCUGCCGAAUGUACUAGCCCUGAAA
This 1156-nucleotide ribosomal RNA is filed under the name Fusarium sp. RNAcentral describes it as "eukaryotic LSU rRNA". It matches the Rfam family "Eukaryotic large subunit ribosomal RNA", at positions 133 to 1317 of the family's 3401-position model. The record is from RNAcentral. Lineage: Eukaryota; Fungi; Ascomycota; Sordariomycetes; Hypocreales; Nectriaceae.